Molecule: long non-coding RNA, 528 nt
Organism: Gorilla gorilla gorilla (western lowland gorilla)
Lineage: Eukaryota; Metazoa; Chordata; Mammalia; Primates; Hominidae
Exons: 4
Source: RefSeq, a predicted model, not a curated record
UUUCCUUACUCAUGAAAUUAAUAUAAUAAGGCUAAGUUGGUCAGUAGUUAAACUAACUGUAAAUUUGGCUGAAGAUUGCUAUGUUCACUAUGCAAAGAUUAGACUGUUAGUUCCCUGAGUGAAGAGAUGCUAUCUUGGUAUCUCCAGCUUCCAACCGGGGGCUUGGCACAGAAUAGGGGCUUGGUAAAUGUUCUCCAAAUGAAUGGGAUGUUUGAUGGAAAGAAGACAAGGUGAAGGAAUUCCUGGGUAAUAUGGAGAUGAGAAUCUGUGAGAAGGAUACAUGUACUGAUGCCUGUCGUGGUGGACACACAGACGCACGCAUUGCGGAACACCACCAGAACUGGAGUACACUCUUCUUCUGCCCUUGGACAUCAGGCUCUCUGGCCUUUGGACUCCAGGACUUAUACCAGCGCCCCUCUGGGUUCUCAGGCCUCUGUACUUGAACUGAGCCACACUGCCAGCAUGCCAGCUUCUCCAGCUUGCCAGGCCUGCUGUGGGACUUCUCAGCCUCCAUAAUCAUGUGUGCCA